UUUUUCCUACGGGACGCAGCAGUGAGGAAUAUUGGUCAAUGGGCGGGAGCCUGAACCAGCCAAGUCGCGUGAGGGAAGACGGUCCUAUGGAUUGUAAACCUCUUUUGUCGGGGAGCAAAGAGAUCACGUGUGGUCAAAAGCGAGAGUACCCGAAGAAAAAGCAUCGGCUAACUCCGUGCCAGCAGCCGCGGUAAUACGGAGGAUGCGAGCGUUAUCCGGAUUUAUUGGGUUUAAAGGGUGCGUAGGCGGGACGGUAAGUCAGCGGUAAAAAUGCGGAGCUCAACUCCGUCGCGCCGUUGAAACUG
RNAcentral lists this ribosomal RNA (305 nucleotides) under uncultured bacterium. RNAcentral's name for it is "bacterial SSU rRNA". It matches the Rfam family "Bacterial small subunit ribosomal RNA", at positions 333 to 635 of the family's 1533-position model. The record is from RNAcentral.